CAGGUGCGGCAGGUGCGGCGGCAGGUGCGGCAGGUGCGGCGGCAGGUGCGGCAGGUGCGGCGCUCUUUCUUCCACGGUCCAGCGCCAAGGCUCCUGGAGACGAAGGGCGGGAGAGGCCAGCGUUCUUCCGGAACAAACCCGAGCUCUGCUGUGUCUCGGGCAGCUGUCAGGGAUCUGAGCUGAGCUCCCGGCGAUGCCGUGUCCUCUCACUGCCCGAGUCCCUUUCAUCCUGACACUCGGGGCUGGUUGUCGGCACCAGGGACCAAUUUCUGCCCAUCACCUGCGUGUCAGCCGAGCGUGGGCCACUGGUGCCAGGGAGCCCUUCGAUCCUGCUCGUUUGCGGUAAUUGCUGUCACCUCGAAAAAAACAUCCUGUUCUGUUCACUGAGUCCGACGAUAGCCCCUCGCUGCUUCCCUUUGGAAAUCAUGAAGAAGAUACAAAGCCAUCUCUCCCUGCGACACACAGGUCUUGGAGAAGAGA
Molecule: long non-coding RNA, 480 nt
Organism: Mustela lutreola (European mink)
Lineage: Eukaryota; Metazoa; Chordata; Mammalia; Carnivora; Mustelidae
Exons: 3
Source: RefSeq, a predicted model, not a curated record